This 253-nucleotide ribosomal RNA is filed under the name uncultured bacterium. RNAcentral's name for it is "partial 16S ribosomal RNA". It matches the Rfam family "Bacterial small subunit ribosomal RNA", at positions 524 to 776 of the family's 1533-position model. The record is from RNAcentral.
CACGUAGGGGGCAAGCGUUGUCCGGAUUUAUUGGGCGUAAAGAGCGUGUAGGCGGCCAGAAAAGUCCGCUGUGAAAACUCGAGGCUCAACUUCGAGCUGUCGGUGGAAACUUUCUGGCUAGAGUCCGGAAGAGGAGAAUGGAAUUCCUGGUGUAGCGGUGAAAUGCGCAGAUAUCAGGAAGAACACCCGUGGCGAAGGCGGUUCUCUGGGACGGUACUGACGCUGAGACGCGAAAGCGUGGGGAGCGAACAGG